Molecule: ribosomal RNA, 253 nt
Filed under: uncultured bacterium
Lineage: Bacteria
Description: partial 16S ribosomal RNA
Rfam family: Bacterial small subunit ribosomal RNA
Source: RNAcentral
UACAGAGGGUGCGAGCGUUAAUCGGAAUUACUGGGCGUAAAGCGCGCGGAGGCGGCUUUGCAAGUCGGGUGUGAAAUCCCCAGGCUUAACCUGGGAACUGCAUUCGAGACUGCAUUGCUAGAGUAUGGGAGAGGGAAGUGGAAUUUCCGGUGUAGCGGUGAAAUGCGUAGAUAUCGGAAGGAACAUCAGUGGCGAAAGCGACUUCCUGGACCAAUACUGACGCUCAUGUGCGAAAGCGUGGGGAGCAAACAGG